AACUUUGUCUAACAAGUUUCUGGGUUUUUCCCAGAAACGUAAAACAGGCGAGUGGUCUAGUUUGACCACCUAUUACGUUCGAUAUGUUGAUGUUAUAAGGUAUCUAAAGGCAUGUAACUAUAAUACAGACAACAGGCUACACAUAUAUUACUACAAAAACAACAAACUACGUAACACCCGACAAAUAUUGGCUUUGAAACAUGUUGUCA
RNAcentral lists this long non-coding RNA (209 nucleotides) under Panax ginseng (ginseng). RNAcentral's name for it is "long non-coding RNA (PGIN_LNC013594)". The record is from RNAcentral. Lineage: Eukaryota; Viridiplantae; Streptophyta; Magnoliopsida; Apiales; Araliaceae.